Molecule: long non-coding RNA, 617 nt
Filed under: Rattus norvegicus (Norway rat)
Lineage: Eukaryota; Metazoa; Chordata; Mammalia; Rodentia; Muridae
Description: long non-coding RNA NONRATT014821
Source: RNAcentral
CUCAGUCGGGCUCAGCGUCCUCAGAGUCGGGCUCAGCGUCCUCAGAGUCAGGCCCAGCAUCCUCAGAGUCAGGCCCAGUGUCCUCAGAGUCGGGCCCAGCGUCCUCAGAGUCAGGCUCAGCGUCCUCAGAGUCAGGCUCAGCGUCCUCGGAGUCGGGCUCAGCAUCCUCGGAGUCAGCUCAGUGUCCUCAGAGUCAGGCCCAGCGUCCUCAGAGUCAGGCUCAGCGUCCUCAGAGUCGGGCUCAGCGUCCUCAGAGUCAGGCCCAGCGUCCUCAGAGUCGGGCUCAGCGUCCUCAGAGUCAGGCCCAGCGUCCUCAGAGUCGGGCUCAGCGUCCUCAGAGUCCGGCCCAGCGUCCUCAGAGUCAGGCUCAGCAUCCUCGGAGUCAGCUCAGUGUCCUCAGAGUCAGGCCCAGCGUCCUCAGAGUCAGGCUCAGCGUCCUCAGAGUCGGGCUCAGCGUCCUCAGAGUCAGGCCCAGCGUCCUCAGAGUCGGGCUCAGCGUCCUCAGAGUCAGGCCCAGCGUCCUCAGAGUCGGGCUCAGCGUCCUCAGAGUCAGGCCCAGCGUCCUCAGAGUCAGGCCCAGCGUCCUCAGAGUCGGGCUCAGCAUCCUCAGUCGGGCU